RNAcentral lists this ribosomal RNA (465 nucleotides) under uncultured bacterium. RNAcentral describes it as "partial 16S ribosomal RNA". It matches the Rfam family "Bacterial small subunit ribosomal RNA", at positions 28 to 507 of the family's 1533-position model. The record is from RNAcentral.
GACGAACGCUGGCGGCGUGCUUAACACAUGCAAGUCGUACGGUAAGGCCCUUUCGGGGGUACACGAGUGGCGAACGGGUGCGUAACACGUGAGUAACCUGCCCACAACUUUGGGAUAACGCUAGGAAACUGGUGCUAAUACUGGAUAUGUGCUCCUGCUGCAUGGUGGGGGUUGGAAAGCUCCGGCGGUUGUGGAUGGACUCGCGGCCUAUCAGCUUGUUGGUGGGGUAGUGGCCUACCAAGGCGGCGACGGGUAGCCGGCCUGAGAGGGUGACCGGCAACAUUGGGACUGAGAUACGGCCCAGACUCCUACGGGAGGCAGCAGUGGGGAAGAUUGCACAAUGGGCGCAAGCCUGAUGCAGCAACGCCGCGUGCGGGAUGACGGCCUUCGGGUUGUAAACCGCUUUCAGCAGGGACGAAGCUUUUUGUGACGGUACCUGCAGAAGAAGCACCGGCUAACUACGUG